RNAcentral lists this ribosomal RNA (450 nucleotides) under uncultured bacterium. RNAcentral's name for it is "bacterial SSU rRNA". It matches the Rfam family "Bacterial small subunit ribosomal RNA", at positions 11 to 507 of the family's 1533-position model. The record is from RNAcentral.
GUUUGAUCAUGGCUCAGAACGAACGCUGGCGGCAGGCCUAACACAUGCAAGUCGAGCGAACCCUUCGGGGUUAGCGGCGGACGGGUUAGUAACGCGUGGGAAUAUACCCUUUGGUACGGAAUAGCCUCGGGAAACUGAGAGUAAUACCGUAUGUGCCCUUCGGGGGAAAGAUUUAUCGCCAAAGGAUUAGCCCGCGUUGGAUUAGAUAGUUGGUGGGGUAAUGGCCUACCAAGUCUACGAUCCAUAGCUGGUUUGAGAGGAUGAUCAGCAACACUGGGACUGAGACACGGCCCAGACUCCUACGGGAGGCAGCAGUGGGGAAUCUUAGACAAUGGGCGCAAGCCUGAUCUAGCCAUGCCGCGUGGACGAUGAUGGCCUUAGGGUUGUAAAGUCCUUUCAGAUGGGAAGAUAAUGACGGUACCUCUGAAGAAAGCACUGGCUAACUCCGUG